RNAcentral lists this small nucleolar RNA (120 nucleotides) under Peromyscus maniculatus bairdii (prairie deer mouse). RNAcentral's name for it is "Small nucleolar RNA SNORA40 (ENSPEMG00000003508.2)". It matches the Rfam family "Small nucleolar RNA SNORA40". From Rfam's summary of the family: The snoRNA ACA 40 belongs to the H/ACA family of snoRNAs and guides the pseudouridylation of 28S rRNA subunit at position U4565. NB This family has a high threshold value to exclude a large number of closely related sequences that do not appear to have conserved H and ACA boxes, and may be pseudogenes. The record is from Rfam by way of RNAcentral. Lineage: Eukaryota; Metazoa; Chordata; Mammalia; Rodentia; Cricetidae.
AGCAUUUGUGUGUGUGUUUGUUACAUUGGUGGACAAAGACAUGAAAGACAGAUGCAAAAAUGAAACCUCUUUUGCAACCCAGAACGCCUGUGAGUUUUGAUGCGCAUGAGACAGAGAACA